This 385-nucleotide ribosomal RNA is filed under the name Telonemia sp. RNAcentral describes it as "partial small subunit ribosomal RNA". It matches the Rfam family "Eukaryotic small subunit ribosomal RNA", at positions 582 to 975 of the family's 1831-position model. Lineage: Eukaryota; Telonemia. The record is from RNAcentral.
AUUCCAGCUCCAAUAGCGUAUAUUAAAGUUGUUGCAGUUAAAAAGCUCGUAGUUGGAGUUCAGAUUGAGCUCGGCCGGUCGGCCUAAUUGGUCAGAACUGGUUGACUCUGUCUUGUUUGUGGAUCCCUCCGGAGUUAACUCUUCGGAUGUGGAGUCCACAUCGUUUACCUUGAAAAAAUUAGAGUGUUCAAAGCAGGCGUUUGCUUGAAUAUAUUAGCAUGGAAUAAUGGAAUAGGACGCUGGUUCUAUUUUGUUGGUUUUGAGAACCAGAGUAAUGAUUAAUAGGGAUAGUUGGGGGUAUUCGUAUUCAAUUGUCAGAGGUGAAAUUCUUGGAUUUAUGGAAGACGAACUACUGCGAAAGCAUUUACCAAGGAUGUUUUCAUCA